AGUGAACGCUGGCGGUAGGCCUAACACAUGCAAGUCGAACGGCAGCACAGUAAGAGCUUGCUCUUACGGGUGGCGAGUGGCGGACGGGUGAGGAAUAAAUCGGAAUCUACUUGUUCGUGGGGGAUAACGUAGGGAAACUUACGCUAAUACAGCAUACGACCUACGGGUGAAAGCAGGGGAUCUUCGGACCUUGCGCGAUUGAAUGAGCCGAUGUCGGAUUAGCUAGUUGGCGGGGUAAAGGCCCACCAAGGCGACGAUCCGUAGCUGGUCUGAGAGGAUGAUCAGCCACACUGGAACUGAGACACGGUCCAGACUCCUACGGGAGGCAGCAGUGGGGAAUAUUGGACAAUGGGCGCAAGCCUGAUCCAGCCAUACCGCGUGGGUGAAGAAGGCCUUCGGGUUGUAAAGCCCUUUUGUUGGGAAAGAAAAGCAGCAGGUUAAUACCCCGCUGUUCUGACGGUACCCAAAGAAUAAGCACCGGCUAACUUCGUG
RNAcentral lists this ribosomal RNA (492 nucleotides) under uncultured bacterium. RNAcentral describes it as "partial 16S ribosomal RNA". It matches the Rfam family "Bacterial small subunit ribosomal RNA", at positions 29 to 507 of the family's 1533-position model. The record is from RNAcentral.